GACGAACGCUGGCGGCGUGCUUAACACAUGCAAGUCGAACGGAAAGGCCCCUUUGGGUGUACUCGAGUGGCGAACGGGCGGGUAACACGUGAGUAACCUGCCCUCGACUUCGGGAUAACUUCAGGAAACUGGGGCUAAUACCGGAUAGGAAACCUCGCUGCAUGGCGGGGGUUGGAAAGCUUCGGCGGUCUUGGAUGGACUCGCGGCGUAUCGGCUUGUUGGUGGGGUAGUGGCUUACCAAGGCGUUGGCGGGUAGCCGGCCUGAGGGGGCGAGCGGCCACCUUGGGACUGAGGUACGGCCCAGACGCCUACGGGAGGCAGCAGGGGGGAAUCUUGAAGAAUGGGCGGCGGCCUGAUGCAGAAGGGCCGCGGGCGGGAUGACGGCCUUCGGGUUGAAAACCGCUUUCAGCAUAGGCGAAGCUUGUGGUGACGGUACCUGCAGAAGAAGCACCGGCUAACUCCGUG
This 465-nucleotide ribosomal RNA is filed under the name uncultured bacterium. RNAcentral's name for it is "partial 16S ribosomal RNA". It matches the Rfam family "Bacterial small subunit ribosomal RNA", at positions 28 to 507 of the family's 1533-position model. The record is from RNAcentral.